RNAcentral lists this transfer RNA (70 nucleotides) under Phrynosoma platyrhinos (Desert horned lizard). Its description in RNAcentral is "tRNA-OTHER". The record is from RNAcentral. Lineage: Eukaryota; Metazoa; Chordata; Lepidosauria; Squamata; Phrynosomatidae.
CUCAGUGUGGUGUAGUGGUUUGAACAUUGGACUAUGACUCUGGAGAUCAGGGUUCAAAUUCCCACUCAGC